GGUACACACGUUUUGCUGGCUAAUAAACCCACACACGUACAUAUUUCCAUCCUCUCCUUGCUCCUGCGCCACUGCACAAGUCUCGCUGCUGCUGCUGCUUGCUUCACGCGUCGCCGGAGUCUGGUCGACGGUGGGAUCCCAGUAAGUACCGACCUCAUCCAUCUCCUCUCCCGUGCUUUUUUCCCCUCUAGGCGUCCAGUAUGAUGCCACCGCCACGGGAUCGAUGGAGUUGUUGUUUCAUGAAUUUAGUUUACUUGCAUUAUGAAAAUCCAGAAAUGUAUAUCAUGAUUUUUGGAAGUUUUCUUAAGACAAAUGUGUAUUUUAAAAUAUAAUAAAAAUAUUGUGUUGGUAAUGAUGCUCAUAAUGAAAAAUUCAAAAGCUUGUCUCUCCUUGUCUAAGUCUCAGUUUGGUAUUAUCGAACAUUUUCAACUAACUUUUGCCUUAAGACCAACUCGUUCUUGUCUGUUUUGGUCGCUAUUUUUCCACGGCAGAUUAUAAGUCAAGCACAAAAUAAUUCAGCAACCGCAAACUAGCCCAUGGACGUACGACAGCUUUCAGAAGACCGAAGAGAGUGAUUCACAUUAUACAAAAUAACUGAUGAUGUAACUUUUCUACAUGUAUUUCUUUUAUCAUAUUUCUGUUUUUUUGGGUCUGUUGCUAUAUCUAGACUUUGGAGACUAUUGUACCGGCAACCGUAAUCUUGAGAAUUUUCUUCGUUCUGUUCUGGCCUAUGCAUGCCUCUCACCCGUUUAUUAAUUGUCAGUGCAUUUAACGAUCUACGAGCUCCAUGGCCGCAAACUAACUGAGCUAGCACGUCCUGCGACGCAUGGAGGUGGCUCUCGUGAGUGUGGCCACGGGGGCCCUUAACUCCGUCCUAGAGAAGUUGGGCACUCUGCUAGUCGACGAGUACAAUCAUCUCAAAGGGGUGUGCGGUGAGAUUAAGUUUCUAACUGAUGAGCUUACUGCCAUGCAUGCCUUUCUCUUUAAUAUGUCGGAGGAGGAGGAUCCUGACGUGCAGGACAAGGUAUGGAUGACCAUGGUGCGGGAGCUCUCCUAUGAUACAGAGGACUCCAUUGACGACUUGAUGCUAGGUCUUGACGACAAAGAUGCUAAGCCAGAUGGCUUCAUAAAGAAGAUCAAACACAUUCUGGGGACGUUGGGGAAGAGGAAGGCUCACCAUCGGACGUUCCAAGAUUUGAAGAAUCAAGUCACUGCGGCAGGCGAGAGAAAUCAAAGGUACAAGACACCUCGGGCCUUCUCCAACACAAAAAAUGGAACCGUUGACCCUAGGGCUCUUGCUAUCUUCGAGGAUGCCUCAAAGCUUGUCGGUAUUGACGAACCCAAGGCUGAGAUAAUCAGAUUGUUGACAGAAGGGAAUGUAUAUGCACCAAUGCAACAACAACAACCAAAAAUAGUCUCCAUCGUUGGAUCAGGAGGGAUGGGCAAGACAACUCUUGCAAACCAAGUGUAUAAAGACCUUAAAGGAAAAUUUGAGUGUCGGGCUUUCGUAUCAAUGUCACAAAAUCGGAACAUGAAGAAAAUCUUGGGACCUAUUCUCAGUGAAGUGGCAAAUAAAGAUUAUGCCCACACCAAAGCUAGGGAUGAACAACAACUUAUCUCCAAGAUCUCUAAUUUCCUUGUUGAUAAAAGCUCCUCUUUUACGAUCUACUAGGAGGUCGUGGAAGACAAUAGAGAGAAGGGUGGUGCUCGAAGGGAUCUCGUUAGCAAUGAUGGUGCACAGUGGUUUUACCCAAGUUCAGGCUCCAGAUGGCUACUUCAUUGUUGUUGACAACGUAUGGAACAAGGAAACAUGGGAUGUUAUUAAGUAUGCAUUCCCCAUGACCAGUCGUGGCAGACUAAUCACCACUACCCGUAUGAUUGAUGUUGUGCAUUCAUGUCAUUCAUCAUUCAGUGGCCAUAUUUAUAAUAUGAAGCCUCUUCAUAUGGAGCACUCAAGACAUCUAUUUCACAAAAGACUAUUCAGUUCCAAAGAAGAUUGUCCUUCAUACCUUGAAGAAGUUUCUAAGCAAAUAUUGGAAAAAUGUGAUGGGUUACCUUUAGCAAUCAUUGCUAUAUCUUGUUUGUUGGGUAACACAGAAAGAACAAAGCAGCAAUGGGACCAAGUAAAAGAUUCAAUUGGUCGUGCACUUGAAAGGAAUCCUAGUGUUGAAGGAAUGAUGAAGAUAUUGUCACUUACUUACUUUGAUCUGCCUUCCCAUCUAAAAGGUUGUCUCCUAUAUCUAAGUAUAUUUCUAGAAGAUUCUAUUAUUGAGAAGAAGGGUCUGAUAAGGAGAUGGGUUGCUGAAGGACUUGUUUGCAAAGAAGGCAGAUAUACAUCAUAUGAGUUAAAAGAGAAGUGUUUUAGUGAGCUCGUCAAUAGGAGUUUGAUCCAACCCGUGAAGGUGGACAAAUAUGAUAAGGUGCUUACUUUUCGAGUUCAUGACACGAUUCUUGAUUUCAUAGUUUCCAAGUCCAUCGAAGAGAACUUUGUUACUUUCAUUGGUGUUCCUAGUUUAACUAUCGGGAGACAAAGCAAAACUCGACGGCUCUCCAUGCAAGUUUAUGGGAAAGGAAAUUAUGUCAUGCCAAUGAACUUGAUAUUGUCUCAUGUCCGGUCACUUAAUGUGUCUGGGAAUUCUGUGAAAAUACCUUCCAUGACGGGGUUCAGUCGUUUACGCAGUUUGGACUUUGGACAUGCAGGCAAUUAGAAAACUACCAUCUUGUGAAUGUAGGGAUGUUGUUGCAGCUAAGGUAUCUCAACAUUAGCAUCACAAGGGUGAGCGAGCUCCCGGAGCAAAUUGGAAAUCUAGGGUUCUUUGAGAUGUUGGACAUAAGGCACACAAAUGUGUUUGAUUUACCAGCAAGUAUUGUCAAUCUCGGAAAUUUGGCACAUUUAUUUGUUAGCGGACACGUUAGGUUUCCCGAUGGAAUUGCGAAGAUGCAAACACUGGAGACAUUGAAACGUGUGCCUGCCCUGCAAUCAUAUAACUUUCUGCAAGAGCUUGGGCGGCUACAGAAUCUGAGGAAGCUACACUUUUAUCAUAUGUAUGUCUUCCAAGAGCACAAGGAAGAUAUUGCUUCUUCUCUCCGUAACCUAUGCACACGGAACCUUUGUUCUUAACUAUAACUAUGUUGAGUGACAAGCUGAGUGACAACUUCUUACUGAAUACAUGGUGCACUUGUCCCUCGGUGAACCUCCAGAAACUUAUGACCUCGGGUUUUGUCUUCCCAAAGGUUCCAGAUUGGGUAGGAUCGUUCGUCAACCUACAGAAGUUAUGCUUCCGAGUGAAGAGAAUUAAGCAUGAAGAUUUGUGCAUCCUUGGAGCCUUACCUGCUCCGCUCUCUCUAGGUCUCGAAGCAAAGGAAUAUCAGUCUUCUUGUGAAGCCAAAAGGCCUGCAGUCACUGGUGAAGUUUGGUUCCGGUGCCUCAGAGUAUUUACUUAUUGAGUGCAGGGAGAUGGGAUGGAUCUCAUGUUUGUAGCAAGAUGUAUGCCCAAUCUAGAAAAACUGGCGAUUGUUUUUCUCGGCUGUGACAACGAGUCUCUGAGCAGAUCUGGUGCUUUCAGUUUCGCGAUUACAAACCUCUCCAGCCUCAUUAGUUUCAAAUGUGUGUUAAAUUGCUCGCGUAUCACGAUAAGCACUACUGACAUCAUAACGGCUUCGCUAGAGAGAGUAGUUGGCACACAUCCAAACAAACAACUCAAUAUAAUCUUUGAAGAUACCGCAAUUCGGCUGUGAAUAAAGGAUCCAUACGUUACUUCUUCAUCUUCUUUUUCGUCUUUAGAUUUGAUAUUUAUAUAUAAGUUUGGAGUACUUACUGCUAGCUAGUAAUCACCCUUUCUUGAACAGAACAGCUCGUAAGGUCUUGCCAUUUUCUCAACUACCUAUUAUGCUUAUACUAUAUUUAUGCACUGUAAUAUGCUUGCUAUCACAGUAGAUUAUAACUUUCCAAAUCACUUGCAGUGCUACUGCCUGAAUGCUUGGGUAGCAGACUGAGUAUUGAAGUGUCCUGGAUGAUGCUGAAGAUGCUGCUGCACUUCAUGAUUGUGUUCUGUUGGAUAUUACCGGAGAGUCUUCUGUUUGGCUUCAAGAAUUAAACCCAGUACAAUUUAAAUCAUCUCUGUAGGUUAUAAGAACUGUACCAGCAAAGCUGCAUGUUGGAUGCUAACUAGGCCCUAGGCAUGCUUCCACUUCAGGUACUAAUCCCAUGCAGUUGUUUGGGCAGCCGCUAUAUAGUCUUUGCCUUACAAAGGAAAUUAUCGAGAUUUCUGUGUACGUUGGUGAGUAAGAUGUUACUGAUUCCUGUCCUCAGGCAUCUUCUUGUGUUACUGCUGGAAGGUAUCGAAGCACAUGUGUUGACUUGUUGUGUAUGUGGAGUUACAUCCUUUUCGUUUUGGUGUUAUCUUUCGCUGAGUUGGUCAGUCACGACCAUAAUAAUUUGAACUUUGCAAACUAUCUGUAAUCAGCUACAAUAGAUGUGUGUUCAGUUAGUUUUCGAAACCCAUUCGACACAAAUUCAACAGAAAGCAAGCUUUUUGUGCCACUAUUAGAUUCAGACCAUAAUAAUCCAUGUUGGCAGAAAUUAUCAAUUUGCUAUAUUUUUGUAGUUUUUGUAUUGGUUGUCGUUUCUCCUAGAGAGCCUUGUUCUUGGCUUCUUGCUGAUGUUUUGGAGACUCUCUAUAUCCUUUGGCUAGAGACGCACCGUUGGGUUGAUGCGUGGUGGCUUGAUUGAGGUACUAAUUGAUGAUGCGAAGCAAUUUGGUGGAGGCUGCAAUCUCAAAAGUUUGUUGCUGUUUCGGAGGUCGAUGGGUCGGUUCAUCGGUUUGAAGUGGGUGCUUAUUUUUACUGAGAUGCAAUCACUGCUGCUUUUUUUAAAUUGGCUACUGCCAUUGGGAGAAAGCUAAUGAAUAUGCAAACUGUGUAGGCUCAGACCCUCGCAGUCUCUCUCGCUCUCCGUGUUUCUGUGGACACACACACACACACAUACACACACACAAUGAUGC
This 5003-nucleotide ribosomal RNA is filed under the name Triticum aestivum (bread wheat). RNAcentral describes it as "partial small subunit ribosomal RNA". Lineage: Eukaryota; Viridiplantae; Streptophyta; Magnoliopsida; Poales; Poaceae. The record is from RNAcentral.